This 773-nucleotide ribosomal RNA is filed under the name uncultured Neocallimastigales. Its description in RNAcentral is "partial large subunit ribosomal RNA". It matches the Rfam family "Eukaryotic large subunit ribosomal RNA", at positions 24 to 633 of the family's 3401-position model. The record is from RNAcentral. Lineage: Eukaryota; Fungi; Neocallimastigomycota; Neocallimastigomycetes; Neocallimastigales.
UAUUGAUCGUCUCUCGCAUAUCAAUAAGCGGAGGAAAAGAAACUAACAAGGAUUCCCCUAGUAACGGCGAGUGAAGCGGGAAGAGCUCAAAUUUGAAAUCUUAAAGGGUUUCCCUUUACGAAUUGUAGUUUAAAGAAGUGUUUUCUGUUGAGGUUUUGGUAAAAGUUCUUUGGAAUAGGACAUCAUAGAGGGUGAGAAUCCCGUAUUUGACCUUUACUUUCAACUUUGUGAUACACUUUCAAAGAGUCGGAUUGUUUGGGAAUGCAGUCCAAAAUGGGUGGUAAAUUUCAUCUAAAGCUAAAUAUUGGCGAGAGACCGAUAGCGAACAAGUACCGUGAGGGAAAGAUGAAAAGAACUUUGAAAAGAGAGUUAAACAGUACGUGAAAUUGUCAAAAGGGAAGCGUUUGACACCAGUGUUGUUUUUCUGAAAAUCAAUUAAAGAACUGUUUAUGCUAAGCUGUUUAGACUUUAUCAGCUAUCUGUUUAGUUUUGAGCUUUUCUUUAAUGCACUUUUCAGUUAACAAGUCAACAUCAAUUUCUUUUGCUGUAAAAAAGCUUGAGGAAGGUGGCUUGAGAUUCGUCUUAAGUGUUUAUAGCCUCUUGCCUAUGCAGUCGGAGAGAUUGAGGUCUGCAGCGUAGAUCCUUCGGGGCUAAAUGCAUUUGUGCUAAGUUAUAGCAUUUUAUAGACAACUUGUUGACUAUGAUUUGUCUUGUAGCUUACUCGCUUAUGUUAUUUUACCUACGCUUAGGAUGUUGAAGACUCUACAGAGAUA